GAUUUCUGGUCUAGUGCGCCUGGCCCACUGCCGUUAGGUUUGUGAGUGCCGGUGCGCGCUUGCCAUCUUUUCUAGUCAGCACACUUCUGUCCUUUACUGGUCGGAGGUGCUGUGGGCUAGAUCUAUUACUUUGAAAAAAUUAGAGUGUUUAAAGCAGGCUUGCGCUAUGAAUAUAUUAGCAUGGAAUAAUAAUUUAGGACUUUGGUCUUAUUUUGUUGGUUUCUAGGACUAAAGUAAUGAUUGAUAGGGACAGUUGGGGGUGCUAGUAUUCAGCGGCCAGAGGUGAAAUUCUUGGAUUCGCUGAAGACUAACUUAUGCGAAAGCAUU
Molecule: ribosomal RNA, 327 nt
Filed under: uncultured cercomonad
Lineage: Eukaryota; Cercozoa; Cercomonadida; Cercomonadidae
Description: SSU rRNA
Rfam family: Eukaryotic small subunit ribosomal RNA (bases 63-327)
Source: RNAcentral